CAGACUGCAUGGAUGUGCAGGCUGAUCUUGGUCUGCACUGGUCGCAAAGGCAAAAUCAUUUGCCACCAACAGGCUAAGGGUUAUUUAAAGAUUCCAACUAAUUUAACUGCCAAUUCAAAUAUGGUGUAACCUGACUGAAAAUAAAUUGUGUAAAGGUGGUGAUGUUGUUACAUGUUACAUUAUUCUUUCAUUGUAUACAAACCACCUUUCACAGUACUUUCACUGUAAAUUGCUGACAGUCAUUGAAAAUCGAAAAUGUUCUAUAAGGACAUUAUUAACAACGCGUGAAAUAUAAAAGGUGUGUCAUAUUGAUAUUUCAUCAUAUUUAAUUUCAACAAUACCGUCGAAGGAAGUUAACGUAUAGUAUAACACAAAACUGAAUUAUUUGGAUAUUCAAAUAGAUUUGGUUUCCGAGAAGAGGAAGUAGAUGAUCUAUCUAUUGAUGGCAACUUUCAGUGUGCGUUUUUUUUUAGGUUGAUAGAAAGUAUUUCAAGGAUAUGUUCGACUUUUCGUAAAGCGUGUUUGUGAAUGAUCAUUGCUAUUUAUACAGAUACAAUACACAUAAAGUUCAAAUGGCUUAUUUAGCGCUUAAAGAAAUUUACUACAAUACGCUGGAAACACUUGGAAUAGUAAAGAAUUUUUGUGAGACUAAACGCAAAAUAUAUAACAAAAUUGGUGAGUUCGUGACACUGAACUAUACAAGGAAAACACGGGAAUCUGUAGACAUAGUUAUUGCUGGAAGUCGUGGAGAAGGAACUGCACUUUCAUUUGAUAACGACGUUGAUGUACUUGUCAUUUAUAGGUCUGUGCACUGCGUCGAAAUCUGUCAAAGUUCUCAUGUAAAUGCAAUAUCCCCAUGUCCAGUUAUAAGUCAGCUGGACGACGAAACUGUUCCAUGCGGAUAUACAAAAUUGCGCAUUAUAUCAAUUGAGAAGUAUCAAGCUAUAUUUGGAAAUCAAGACUUCGUGACGAAUAUAAUAACUGGAAUAGUAAAAAGAAAUGGCUUUGAAUAUCUUAGAAAUGAUCAGACGUUUGGAGGACCUUUAUACAACAACCGGGAGGGAUUACUUAAACAGGAAAAUGUGUUUGCAGACACUUCAGGACCUGCGACACUAUUUACAUUUGAACUACCAUUUUUAGACAAGUGCAAUUUAUCUCUUGAUUAAGUUCAAGCAUUUCUAUGUUCCUACCCGUCAGCAGUAAAUGCUUGGUGCAAACGUACCAGGAAAUAUGACUGGCCACAUAAAGAGGUUAUAGAAACUGUAAGAGGUUUAGAUGUACUUAUGGUACCCGCUGGUACCAGAUGACUCACGCCAUAACACCGCCAAGUGUGGAAGUCUACUAUAUAAUACUUAGUAUUAUUGAACAGAUUCCAAGAUGCCAAAUGACUAAUAGAUUGUGUUGCCGAAUCACAUAUUCAAGUGUAAAACCAAGUAAAAGUCUUUUAUUAAAGCAUACCACAAAAUAUUUAAGGAUCCAAACUCAAAUAAUAUGAAUAUAAAAUAUGAAUUUAAGUAGAAAACAUAUCAAGAGGAUAGGUCAGAAGAAUUCAAACGGUAGAGAUGAAGGAGUGAGCGUGAAAAAGAUGUAACCAGACAGCGCUUGCGAUUUUCGACGUUUUCAAAGCACAUCGCAGUGAAGAUAUGCUGCAGAAACUAUAUGACGCAAACAUUAAAGUUGUGUUUGUCCCUGCAUGCUGUACGGAUGAGCUACAACCGAUGGAUCAGAUCCCGAACAAACAGUUCAAAGAUAUAAUCAAGUCUCAAUUUUCUGAAUAUUAUACAGAACAAGUUGCGAAGGGGUUACGUGAAAAUAAACCCGUCGACAGUGUUGACAUUUCUACAAAAACGGUGAAGCCUCUCCAUGCUAAAUGGAUCCAAAUGGCUUUUGAAAAAAUGAGCAAAACAGCAGAUCAGUUCGUUAAGGCAUUCAACAACUGUGGAAUUUACGCUAAGUAAUAGUAUUCAUUAUGAUGCUCUGUUGGAUGAUUAUCGGAGCAAAUAAGUUCGUAAUCCUUUUGUAACCCAUUCGUUAGUGUUUUAUUCAUUCCCUUGUGCAUAACGUUAAAGUCCGUGUAAUCCGGACUGCAGAGUGGGGGCCGCCAUGUUUAUUUUGAAAUAGACGUUAGUGAAAAUUUAUGCAUAUACAUGUAUAAGGUAAUAUUUCAGCGAGGAUAAAUUUUCGCGAGAAUAUUCUAUUCGCGAAUAUAGCGAAAAUUAAUCCCUCGCGAAAAUUUCUGAUUUUACAGUAACAUAAUCUUUUCAUACAAAACAUUUCAUCAAAAUCUAUUAUUGCGAAAAAAAAUACGAAACUGUAGCGAGCGUCCUUAACAGUGAUGAAAUUGUACAUAUUCGAAUGUAUUAACAUAGUAAACAUCAUCCAGUUCAUGUUACCACAAUAUAUUCAAAAUCACAGCCACAGGCUCUAAAAGAGUGCAAAGUAAUUUCUAAAAUAAUGAGUUUUCAACUUCUUUUUGAAAACAUCUAAUGUUUUUGAGUUCCUUAUUUCGAGAGGCAAUUCGUUCCAGAGUUUAGUUCCAACGUAAUAUUCUGGAGAAUUCACGACUGAACAAUUAUACACGUAGGUGAGCAUCUUGAAUGUGAUUCUAGGCUUUAACUGAUGGAUAGCCAGUGAAGAUCAUAGAGUGCUUGUUUAAAAUUGUCAUAUUUUCUUCGAUUUAGGACCAGUUAUGCACACAUGUUUUGUCUACAUGAGUGUCUUUUCAUAUUGAAUUUAUUAAAUGAGUUGAAUAAAAUAAUAAAAUGCGAGGCUCUGUCGAGAAUUUAAU
Molecule: long non-coding RNA, 2788 nt
Organism: Mercenaria mercenaria
Lineage: Eukaryota; Metazoa; Mollusca; Bivalvia; Venerida; Veneridae
Exons: 2
Source: RefSeq, a predicted model, not a curated record